UUGCAUGUGGGGAACUCUUAUUCUGCCCUUUAUUCUUUGGGGACUAAGACUAUCCGUGGGGUGCUAUACAAAAUAAAGGCAUUUUCAGGGCUGCUAGGUAUGCAGUGAAGAUUAAAUGAUAGUCUAUUUCUCCUACAAAA
Molecule: small nucleolar RNA, 140 nt
Organism: Talpa occidentalis (Iberian mole)
Lineage: Eukaryota; Metazoa; Chordata; Mammalia; Eulipotyphla; Talpidae
Product: small nucleolar RNA U109
Exons: 1
Source: RefSeq, a predicted model, not a curated record